This is a transfer RNA of Monosiga brevicollis MX1, 72 nucleotides long. It matches the Rfam family "tRNA". Rfam says of the family: Transfer RNA (tRNA) molecules are approximately 80 nucleotides in length. The record is from Rfam. Lineage: Eukaryota; Choanoflagellata; Craspedida; Salpingoecidae.
GGCGCCUUAGCUCAGUGGUAGAGCGUUGGUCUCGUAAACCAAAGGCCACGAGUUCGAUCCUCGUAGGUGCCU